RNAcentral lists this ribosomal RNA (433 nucleotides) under uncultured bacterium. RNAcentral's name for it is "partial 16S ribosomal RNA". It matches the Rfam family "Bacterial small subunit ribosomal RNA", at positions 29 to 507 of the family's 1533-position model. The record is from RNAcentral.
AACGAACGCUGGCGGCAUGCCUAACACAUGCAAGUCGAACGAAACCUUCGGGUCUAGUGGCGCACGGGUGCGUAACGCGUGGGAACCUGCCCUUAGGUUCGGAAUAACUCCCCGACAGGGGUGCUAAUACCGGAUAAUGUCUUCGGCCCAAAGAUUUAUCGCCUUAGGAUGGGCCCGCGUUGGAUUAGCUAGUUGGUAGGGUAAAAGCCUACCAAGGCGCCGAUCCAUAGCUGGUCUGAGAGGAUGAUCAGCCACACUGGGACUGAGACACGGCCCAGACUCCUACGGGAGGCAGCAGUGGGGAAUAUUGGACAAUGGGCGAAAGCCUGAUCCAGCAAUGCCGCGUGAGUGAUGAAGGCCUUAGGGUAGUAAGGCUCUUUUACCCGGGAUGAUAAUGACAGUACCGGGAGAAUAAGCUCCGGCUAACUCCGUG